RNAcentral lists this ribosomal RNA (497 nucleotides) under uncultured bacterium. Its description in RNAcentral is "partial 16S ribosomal RNA". It matches the Rfam family "Bacterial small subunit ribosomal RNA", at positions 28 to 507 of the family's 1533-position model. The record is from RNAcentral.
GAUGAACGCUGGCGGCGUGCCUAAUACAUGCAAGUCGAGCGAACAGACGUGCAGCUUGCUCCUCUGACGUUAGCGGCGGACGGGGGAGUAACACGUGGAUAACCUACCUAUAAGACUGGGAUUACUUCGGGAAACCGGAGCUAAUACCGAAUAACAUGUUGAACCGCAUGGUUCAACCGUGAAAGACGGUCUUGCUGUCACUUAUAGAUGGAUCCGCGCCGCAUUAGCUAGUUGGUAAGGUAACGGUUUACCAAGGCAACGAUGCGUAGCCGACCUGCGAGGGUGAUCGGCCACACUGGAACUGAGACACGGUCCAGACUCCUACGGGAGGCAGCAGUAGCGAAUCUUCCGCAAUGGGCGAAAGCCUGACGGAGCAACGCCGCGUGAGUGAAGAAGGUCUUGGGAUCGGAAUACUCUGUUAUUAGGGAAGAACAGAUGUGUAAGUAACUAUGCACGUCGUGACGGUACCGAAUCAAAAAGCCACGGCUAACUACGUG